This 450-nucleotide ribosomal RNA is filed under the name uncultured bacterium. RNAcentral's name for it is "partial 16S ribosomal RNA". It matches the Rfam family "Bacterial small subunit ribosomal RNA", at positions 354 to 796 of the family's 1533-position model. The record is from RNAcentral.
GUAGGGAAUCUUCCACAAUGGACGAAAGUCUGAUGGAGCAACGCCGCGUGAGUGAAGAAGGUUCUCGGAUCGUAAAACUCUGUUGUGAGGGAAGAACAAGUACCGGAGUAACUGCCGGUACCUUGACGGUACCUCAUUAGAAAGCCACGGCUAACUACGUGCCAGCAGCCGCGGUAAUACGUAGGUGGCAAGCGUUGUCCGGAAUCAUUGGGCGUAAAGCGCGCGCAGGCGGUCCCUUAAGUCUGAUGUGAAAGCCCACGGCUCAACCGUGGAGGGUCAUUGGAAACUGGGGGACUUGAGUGCAGAAGAGGAAAGCGGAAUUCCAAGUGUAGCGGUGAAAUGCGUAGAGAUUUGGAGGAACACCAGUGGCGAAGGCGGCUUUCUGGUCUGUAACUGACGCUGAGGCGCGAAAGCGUGGGGAGCAAACAGGAUUAGAUACCCCUGUAGUCC